RNAcentral lists this ribosomal RNA (301 nucleotides) under uncultured bacterium. RNAcentral's name for it is "partial 16S ribosomal RNA". It matches the Rfam family "Bacterial small subunit ribosomal RNA", at positions 509 to 807 of the family's 1533-position model. The record is from RNAcentral.
CAGCCGCCACGGUAAUACAGAGGGUGCGAGCGUUAAUCGGAUUUACUGGGCGUAAAGCGUGCGUAGGCGGCUUCUUAAGUCGGAUGUGAAAUCCCUGAGCUUAACUUAGGAAUUGCAUUCGAUACUGGGAAGCUAGAGUAUGGGAGAGGAUGGUAGAAUUCCAGGUGUAGCGGUGAAAUGCGUAGAGAUCUGGAGGAAUACCGAUGGCGAAGGCAGCCAUCUGGCCUAAUACUGACGCUGAGGUACGAACGCAUGGGGAGCAAACAGGAUUAGAUACCCCCGUAGUCCCUGUCUCUUAUAC